RNAcentral lists this ribosomal RNA (832 nucleotides) under Aschersonia sp. JZQ-2014a. RNAcentral's name for it is "eukaryotic LSU rRNA". It matches the Rfam family "Eukaryotic large subunit ribosomal RNA", at positions 78 to 932 of the family's 3401-position model. Lineage: Eukaryota; Fungi; Ascomycota; Sordariomycetes; Hypocreales; Clavicipitaceae. The record is from RNAcentral.
CCCCAGUAACGGCGAGUGAAGCGGCAACAGCUCAAAUUUGAAAUCUGGCCCUCCCCGGGGGGCCCGAGUUGUAAUUUGCAGAGGAUGCUUUGGGCGAGGCGCCUUCCGAGUUCCCUGGAACGGGACGCCACAGAGGGUGAGAGCCCCGUCUGGUCGGACGCCGAGCCUCUGUAAAGCUCCUUCGACGAGUCGAGUAGUUUGGGAAUGCUGCUCAAAAUGGGAGGUAUAUGUCUUCUAAAGCUAAAUACCGGCCAGAGACCGAUAGCGCACAAGUAGAGUGAUCGAAAGAUGAAAAGCACCUUGAAAAGGGGGUUAAACAGUACGUGAAAUUGUUGAAAGGGAAGCGCUCGUGACCAGACUUGGGGCGGGCGGAUCAGCCGGCGUUCUCGCCGGCGCACUCCGCCCGUCCCAGGCCAGCAUCAGUUCGCGCCGGGGGACAAAGGCGGCGGGAAUGUGGCUCCCCAGGGAGUGUUAUAGCCCGCCGCGCCAUGCCCCGGGGGCGGACUGAGGGCCGCGCAUCACUGCAAGGAUGCUGGCGUAAUGGUCACCAGCGACCCGUCUUGAAACACGGGCCAAGGAGUCGUCCUCGUAUGCGAGUGUUCGGGUGUCAAACCCCUACGCGGAAUGAAAGUGAACGUGGGUGAGAGCUUCGGCGCAUCAUCGACCGAUCCUGAUGUUCUCGGAUGGAUUUGAGUAGGAGCAUACGGGGCCGGACCCGAAAGAAGGUGAACUAUGCCUGUGUAGGGUGAAGCCAGAGGAAACUCUGGUGGAGGCUCGCAGCGGUUCUGACGUGCAAAUCGAUCGUCAAACAUGGGCAUGGGGGCGAAAGACU